This 168-nucleotide ribosomal RNA is filed under the name Phaseolus lunatus (lima bean). RNAcentral's name for it is "5.8S ribosomal RNA". It matches the Rfam family "5.8S ribosomal RNA". Rfam says of the family: 5.8S ribosomal RNA (5.8S rRNA) is a component of the large subunit of the eukaryotic ribosome. It is transcribed by RNA polymerase I as part of the 45S precursor that also contains 18S and 28S rRNA. The record is from RNAcentral. Lineage: Eukaryota; Viridiplantae; Streptophyta; Magnoliopsida; Fabales; Fabaceae.
AUGUAAAAUGACUCUCGGCAACGGAUAUCUCGGCUCUUGCAUCGAUGAAGAACGUAGCGAAAUGCGAUACUUGGUGUGAAUUGCAGAAUCCCGUGAACCAUCGAGUCUUUGAACGCAAGUUGCGCCCAAAGCCAUUAAGCUGAGGGCACACCUGCCUGGGUGUCACAC